RNAcentral lists this ribosomal RNA (567 nucleotides) under Fusarium oxysporum. RNAcentral's name for it is "eukaryotic LSU rRNA". The stretch from base 202 to 355 matches the Rfam family "5.8S ribosomal RNA". Lineage: Eukaryota; Fungi; Ascomycota; Sordariomycetes; Hypocreales; Nectriaceae. The record is from RNAcentral.
GAAGUAAAAGUCGUAACAAGGUCUCCGUUGGUGAACCAGCGGAGGGAUCAUUACCGAGUUUACAACUCCCAAACCCCUGUGAACAUACCACUUGUUGCCUCGGCGGAUCAGCCCGCUCCCGGUAAAACGGGACGGCCCGCCAGAGGACCCCUAAACUCUGUUUCUAUAUGUAACUUCUGAGUAAAACCAUAAAUAAAUCAAAACUUUCAACAACGGAUCUCUUGGUUCUGGCAUCGAUGAAGAACGCAGCAAAAUGCGAUAAGUAAUGUGAAUUGCAGAAUUCAGUGAAUCAUCGAAUCUUUGAACGCACAUUGCGCCCGCCAGUAUUCUGGCGGGCAUGCCUGUUCGAGCGUCAUUUCAACCCUCAAGCACAGCUUGGUGUUGGGACUCGCGUUAAUUCGCGUUCCCCAAAUUGAUUGGCGGUCACGUCGAGCUUCCAUAGCGUAGUAGUAAAACCCUCGUUACUGGUAAUCGUCGCGGCCACGCCGUUAAACCCCAACUUCUGAAUGUUGACCUCGGAUCAGGUAGGAAUACCCGCUGAACUUAAGCAUAUCAAUAAGCGGAGGA